AUUGAACGCUGGCGGCAGGCUUAACACAUGCAAGUCGAACGGUAACAUAAAGAAGCUUGCUUCUUUGAUGACGAGUGUCGGACGGGUGAGUAAUGCUUGGGAAUCUAGCUUAUGGAGGGGGAUAACUACGGGAAACUGUAGCUAAUACCGCGUAGUAUCGGAAGAUGAAAGUGUGGGACCUUCGGGCCACAUGCCAUAGGAUGAGCCCAAGUGGGAUUAGGUAGUUGGUGAAGUAAAGGCUCACCAAGCCGACGAUCUCUAGCUGGUCUGAGAGGAUGACCAGCCACACUGGGACUGAGACACGGCCCAGACUCCUACGGGAGGCAGCAGUGGGGAAUAUUGCGCAAUGGGGGCAACCCUGACGCAGCCCUGCCGCGUGAAUGAAGAAGGCCUUUCGGGUUGUA
RNAcentral lists this ribosomal RNA (404 nucleotides) under Terrahaemophilus sp. oral taxon G25. RNAcentral's name for it is "bacterial SSU rRNA". It matches the Rfam family "Bacterial small subunit ribosomal RNA", at positions 30 to 427 of the family's 1533-position model. The record is from RNAcentral. Lineage: Bacteria; Pseudomonadati; Pseudomonadota; Gammaproteobacteria; Pasteurellales; Pasteurellaceae.